UGGCGAACUGGUGAGUAACACGUGGGAAACCUGCCCAGAAGCGGGGGAUAACACCUGGAAACAGAUGCUAAUACCGCAUAACAACUUGGACCGCAUGGUCCGAGCUUGAAAGAUGGCUUCGGCUAUCACUUUUGGAUGGUCCCGCGGCGUAUUAGCUAGAUGGUGGGGUAACGGCUCACCAUGGCAAUGAUACGUAGCCGACCUGAGAGGGUAAUCGGCCACAUUGGGACUGAGACACGGCCCAAACUCCUACGGGAGGCAGCAGUAGGGAAUCUUCCACAAUGGACGAAAGUCUGAUGGAGCAACGCCGCGUGAGUGAAGAAGGGUUUCGGCUCGUAAAACUCUGUUGUUAAAGAAGAACAUAUCUGAGAGUAACUGUUCAGGUAUUGACGGUAUUUAACCAGAAAGCCACGGCUAACUACGUGCCAGCAGCCGCGGUAAUACGUAGGUGGCAAGCGUUGUCCGGAUUUAUUGGGCGUAAAGCGAGCGCAGGCGGUUUUUUAAGUCUGAUGUGAAAGCCUUCGGCUCAACCGAAGAAGUGCAUCGGAAACUGGGAAACUUGAGUGCAGAAGAGGACAGUGGAACUCCAUGUGUAGCGGUGAAAUGCGUAGAUAUAUGGAAGAACACCAGUGGCGAAGGCGGCUGUCUGGUCUGUAACUGACGCUGAGGCUCGAAAGUAUGGGUAGCAAACAGGAUUAGAUACCCUGGUAGUCCAUACCGUAAACGAUGAAUGCUAAGUGUUGGAGGGUUUCCGCCCUUCAGUGCUGCAGCUAACGCAUUAAGCAUUCCGCCUGGGGAGUACGGCCGCAAGGCUGAAACUCAAAGGAAUUGACGGGGGCCCGCACAAGCGGUGGAGCAUGUGGUUUAAUUCGAAGCUACGCGAAGAACCUUACCAGGUCUUGACAUACUAUGCAAAUCUAAGAGAUUAGACGUUCCCUUCGGGGACAUGGAUACAGGUGGUGCAUGGUUGUCGUCAGCUCGUGUCGUGAGAUGUUGGGUUAAGUCCCGCAACGAGCGCAACCCUUAUUAUCAGUUGCCAGCAUUAAGUUGGGCACUCUGGUGAGACUGCCGGUGACAAACCGGAGGAAGGUGGGGAUGACGUCAAAUCAUCAUGCCCCUUAUGACCUGGGCUACACACGUGCUACAAUGGAUGGUACAACGAGUUGCGAACUCGCGAGAGUAAGCUAAUCUCUUAAAGCCAUUCUCAGUUCGGAUUGUAGGCUGCAACUCGCCUACAUGAAGUCGGAAUCGCUAGUAAUCGCGGAUCAGCAUGCCGCGGUGAAUACGUUCCCGGGCCUUGUACACACCGCCCGUCACACCAUGAGAGUUUGUAACACCCAAAGUCGGUGG
RNAcentral lists this ribosomal RNA (1350 nucleotides) under Lactiplantibacillus plantarum. Its description in RNAcentral is "bacterial SSU rRNA". It matches the Rfam family "Bacterial small subunit ribosomal RNA", at positions 96 to 1433 of the family's 1533-position model. The record is from RNAcentral. Lineage: Bacteria; Bacillati; Bacillota; Bacilli; Lactobacillales; Lactobacillaceae.